AUGAUGUGUUACAACUUAAACUUUCUAUUUAGCUUGUGUUUUUAGUUUACUAGACUUUAACCCGCGGAUACUGUGGAGACAAUUUAUUUUCUUAAAGUUAGUAUAUAUAAAAGUUUGCAAAUUGUAUCUAUCUAUAAAAUAUUUUUGUUUUAUAGUUUACAAUUGUUAUUAAGUAACGUCCUGCCAAACCCGUCCCGCCAACCCGUCCCGUAAAAAAAUCUAUUUAUUUUAUUAAU
RNAcentral lists this small RNA (236 nucleotides) under Arabidopsis thaliana (thale cress). RNAcentral describes it as "ATSL174410". Lineage: Eukaryota; Viridiplantae; Streptophyta; Magnoliopsida; Brassicales; Brassicaceae. The record is from RNAcentral.